RNAcentral lists this long non-coding RNA (6954 nucleotides) under Salvia miltiorrhiza (redroot sage). RNAcentral's name for it is "long non-coding RNA (SMIL_LNC005898)". The record is from RNAcentral. Lineage: Eukaryota; Viridiplantae; Streptophyta; Magnoliopsida; Lamiales; Lamiaceae.
CCUCGAUAAACACUUUAAAAAUACUGUCAGCAUCAAAAAAUCCAUCCAUCCAUGUCCAACAACUAGACCAAAAUAGCCCCAUCUUAAGCUCCUUAUCUGAUCGAACUAAAACUUAUUUUGCAUCUCCUGUCACAUGGUGAGGCCAAAAACAAUAUCCACAUCUAUGUAACAAACAAAAAACUGAUCAAAUAGAACAAAAGGGAACCAAUCACCAAACCAGAACCGCUUUUCCUUCAAAAAUGGUGAAGAACCACACAAAGAUCCAUCUGAAAUGGAAGUGCAUAAACAAUAAGCAAGGGGAAAGCCCAGGAAGAAGACAAUGACAGUAGAAAAAUAUUAUACUCCCUCUACAAUGCUUCACGUCCAACAACCAGACCAAGAUAGCCCCACCUUAAGCUCCGACUUUGGUAGAAUCAAAACUUAUUUUGUAUCUCCUGUCAAAGGGUGGGACCAAAAACAAUAUACACAUGUACGUAACAAACAAAAAAUAGAUUAAACAGAGCAAAAGGGAACCAAGCACCAAACCAGAACCGCCUUCCCACGAGAACUGGUUAAUUAGAACCCAAAGAUCAAACAUUUGAAGAUUAAAGAGCAUAACAAUAAGCAAAGGGAAAAAGUUCACCUAGAAGAUAAAUCACAAUAGAAAAAUAAUAUACUCCUGUUGACACCCACCAUAAACACUAUACCAAUGGCAGCAUCCAAGAUUGGUCCAUAUCCAAAUAACCAGACCAAGAUAGCCUCACCUUAAAUACCUAACUUUGAUGGAAUCAAAACCAAUUUUGUAUCUCCUGACACAGGGUGAGGCAGAAAACAAGGUCCAAGUCUACGUAACAAAAUAAAACUAUAAUAGAGAGCAAAGAUAACCAAGGAUCAAACCAGAACAGUCUUCCACAGAAGCCUGAUUAAGAAACACACAACGAUCCGGCAUCUGGAAAUUGAAAAGAAUAACGAUAAGCAAGGGAAAGUUUAGGUAGAAUAUAAAAUUUAGUAAAAAAGUUACAAUACUAUACUCCCUAUGCAACCCUUGAUAAACACUAUAUCAAUGACAGCGUCAAAGGUUGCUCCGUGUCCAACAAUCAGACCAAGAUUGCACCACCAUAAGCUCCUACUUUGAUAGAAUCAAAACUUAAUUUAUAUUUUGUGUCAUAGGGUGAUGCAGAAAACAAUAUCCACGCCAACGUAACAAACAAAAAACUGAUGAAAGAGAAAAAAGAUAACAAAGCAUCAAACCGAACAGCCUUCCAAUUAAGAACCACAACGAUCAGAAAUCUGAAAAUUGAAGAGUAUAACGACAAGCACCGGAAACUCUAGGUAGAAGAGAAAAUAUAGUAGAAGAAAAUGUAGUAUAACAAUCUGCAUCCCUCAAUAAACAUUAUAUCAAUUGACAUCUUAUAUUAGUCCGCAUCCAACAACCCCACCAAGUUGGCCCCCACCUUAAGCUCCCACUUUGAUAGAAUAAAACUGAAUUUGUAUCUCCUGUCACAGGGUGAGGGCGAAAAAAAUAUCAAAGUCUACGUAACAAAAAAAAAAAAACUAUAAUAGAGAACACAGACAACCAAGCGUCAAACAAGAACUGCCUUUCAGAGAAGCUUGAUUAAGAACAAAACAGCAACCAAAGAUUUGUCCAUGUCCAAAAACCAGACCAAGAUAGCCCCCACCUUAAGCUCCUACUUUGAUAGAAUCAAAACCUAUUUUGUAUCUCCUGUCACAGGGUGAGGCUGAAAACAACAUCCAAGUCUACAUAACAGCAAAAGAACUAUAAUUGAGAGAGCAAAGAUAACCAAUUAUCAAACCCGAACUGCCUUCCAGUUAAACUUGAUUAAGAACCACAUAAUGAACAGGCAUCUGGAAAUGGAAGAGAGACUAACAAUAACCACAGGAAAGUCUAGAUGGAAGAUAAAUUGUAGUAGAAAAAAAUACUAUAUUAUACUCCCUCUGCCAUCCUCGAUAAACACUAUAAUUGACAGCGUCAAAGGUUGAUCUGUGGCCAAUAUAACUAAACCAAGAUUAGCCCCACCUUGAGCUCCUACUUUGAUAAAAUCAAAACAAAAUUUUUAUCAUCUGCCAUAGGAUGAGGCAGAAAUACAAUAUACACGUAUACGUAACAAACAAAAAAACUGAUGAUAGAGAGAAAAGAUAAACCCAGCAUCAAACCAGAAGUGCCUUCAAGUAAAGAACACCUGGAAAUUGAAGAGUAUAACGAUAAGUAUAGGAAACUCAAGGUAAAAGAGAAAACGUAAAAAAAAAAAAAAUAACUAUACUGUACACCAUCUGCCACCCUCGACAAACACUAUAUCAAUGAUGGCAUCAUAGAUUAGUCCAUAUCCAAAAACCAGACCAAGAUAACCCCCACCUUAAGCUUCAACUUUGAUAGAAUCAAAACCUAUUUUGUCUCCUGGCACAGGGUGAGGACCAAAACAUUGUCCAAGUCUACAUAACAAAUAAACAAUAAUUACAGAGCAAAGGUGACCAAUUAGCAAACCAGAACAGCCUUCCCGUGAAGCUUGAUUAAAAACCACACAGCGAUCAGGCAUCUGGAAAUUGAUGAGAACAACGGUAAGCAUGGGAAAGUCUAGGUAGAAGAUAAAAGAUAGUAAAAAAAAAAAAAACUAUUCUAUACUCUCUUUGCCAGGCCCACACCACUAUAUCAAUGACAGCAUCAAAGGUAGAUCCGUGUUCAAUAACCAGGCCAACAUUAGCCACACCAUAAGCUCCUUCUUUCAAAACUUAAUUUUUAUCUCCUAUCAUAGGGUGAGGCAGAGAACAAUAUCCACGUCUACAUAACAACAAAAAAUUGUUGAAACUGACAAAAGAUAACCAAGAAAACAAGAAGUGCCAUCCAUUAUGGAAAUUGAAGAGUAUAACUAUAAACACGGGAAACUCUAGGUAGAAGAGAAAAUGUAGUAGAAAAAAAAAAUACUAUUAUGUAUUUCCUUUGCGACCCUCGAUUUACAAUAUACCAAUGAUAACAUCAAAGAUCUGUCCGCGUCCAAAAACCAGACCAAGAUAGCCCCCACAUUAAGCUCCUACAGUGAUGGAAUCAAAACCUAUUUUGUAUCUCCUGUCACAGGGUAGGCCCAAAACAAUAUCCAAGUCUAUAUAACAACAAAAGAAAUAUAAUAGAGAGAUCAAAUGCAACCAAUUAUGAACCCAGAACUGCCUUCCAGUUAAGCUUGAUUAAGAACCACACAACGAUCAGGCAUCUGGAAAUUGAAGAGAAUAACAAUAAGCACGGGAAAGUCAAGAUGGAAGAUAAAUUGUAGCAGAAUUAAUACAAUACUAUACUCCCUCUGACACCCUCGAUAAACAUUAUAUCAGUGACAGCAUCAAAAGUUGAUAUGUCUCCAAUAACUAGACCAAGAUUAGCCCCACCAUAAGCUGCUUCUUUCACAACUUAAUUUUUAACCCCUGUCACAAGGUGAGGCAGAAAACAAUAUCCACGUCUACGUAACAAAUAAAAGAUUGUUGAAACUGACAAAAGAUAACCAAGCAUACCAGAAGUGCCUUCCAGUUAAGAACCACACAACAAUCAGACAUCUGGAAAUUGAAGAGUAUAACUAUUAGCACGGGAAACUCUAGGUAGAAGAGAAAAUGUAGUAGAAAAAAAAUACUAUUAUGUACUCCAUGUACUCCCUUUACCACCCACAUUAAACUAUAUCAAUGACAGCAUGAAGGAUUUGUCAGUGUACCAAAAACCAGACCAAGACACGCCCCCACCUUAAGCUCCUACUUUGAUAGAAUCAGAACCUAUUUUGUAUCUCCUAUCACAGGGUGAGGCUGAAACCAACAUCGAGUCUAAAUAACAACAAAAGAACUACAAUAGAGAGAGCAAAGGUAACCAACUAUCAAACCCGAACUGCCGUCCAGUAAGCUUGAUUAAGAACCACACAACGAUCGGGCAUCUGGAAAUGGAAGAGAAUAACGAUAAGCACCGGAAGGUCUAGAUGGAAGAUAAAUUGUAUUAGAAGAAAUACUAUACUAACUCCCUCUGCCACCCUCGAAAAACAUAUCAUGACCAUCAAAGGAUUGAUUGUGUGCAAUAACUGACUAAGAUUAGCCCUACCUUAAGCCCUACUUUGAUAAAAUUAAAACUUAAUUUUUAUCUCAUGUCAUAGGGUGGGGCAGAAAACAAUAUCACGUCUAUGUACAAACAAAAAUUGUUGAAAUGACAAAAGAUAACCAAACAUCAAACCAGAAGUGUCAUCCAGUUAAGAACCACCCCACGAUCAGACAUCUGGAAAUUGAAGAGUAUAUCUAUAAGCACGGGAAACUCUAGGUAGAAGAGAAAAUGUAUAGAAAUAAAAAUACUAUUAUGUACUCCCUUUGCCACCCUCGAUUAACACAAUAUCAAUGACUCAUCAAAGAUCUGUCCGCGUCCAAAAACCAGACCAAGAUAGCCCCCACAUUAAGCUCCUACAGUGAUGGAAUCAAAACCUAUUUUGUAUCUCCUGUCACAGGGUAGGCCCAAAACAAUAUCCAAGUCUAUAUAACAACAAAAGAAUAUAAUAGAGAGAUCAAAUGCAACCAAUUAUGAACCCAGAACUGCCUUCCAGUUAAGCUUGAUUAAGAACCAAACAACGAUCAGGCAUCUGGAAAUCGAAGAGAAUAACAAUAAGCACGGGAAAGUCAAGAUGGAAGAUAAAUUGUAGCAGAAUUAAUACAAUACUAUACUCCCUCUGACACCCUCGAUAAACAUUAUAUCAGUGACAGCAUCAAAAGUUGAUGUCUCCAGUAACUAGACCAAGAUUAGCCCCACCAUAAGCUGCUUCUUUCACAACUUAAUUUUUAACUCCUGUCACAAGGUGAGGCAGAAAACAAUAUCCACGUCUACGUAACAAAUAAAAGAUUGUUGAAACUGACAAAAGAUAACCAAGCAUACCAGAAGUGCCUUCCAGUUAAGAACCACACAACAAUCAGACAUCUGGAAAUUGAAGAGUAUAACUAUUAGCACGGGAAACUCUAGGUAGAAGAGAAAAUGUAGGUAGAAAAAAAAUACUAUUAGUACUCCCUUUACCACCCACUAUUAACACUAUAUCAAUGACAGCAUGAAGGAUUUGUCAGUGUCCAAAAACCAGACCAAGACAGCCCCCACCUUAAGCUCCUACUUGAUAGAAUCAGAACCUAUUUUGUAUCUCCUAUCACAGGGUGAGGCUGAAACCAACAUCCGAGUCUAAAUAACAACAAAAGAACUACAAUAGAGAGAGCAAAGGUAACCAACUAUCAAACCCGAACUGCCGUCCAGUUAAGCUUGAUUAAGAACCACACAACGAUCGGGCAUCUGGAAAUGAAGAGAAUAACGAUAAGCACCGGAAGGUCUAGAUGGAAGAUAAAUUGUAUAGAAGAAAUACUAUACUAUACUCCCUCUGCCACCCUCGAUAAACACACUAUAUAGUGACCACGUCAAAGGAUUGACUUGUGUGCAAUAACUUGACUAAGAUUAGCCCUACCUUAAGCUCCUACUUGAUAAAAUUAAAACUUAAUUUUUAUCUCAUGUCAUAGGGUGGGGCAGAAAACAAUAUCCACGUCUAUGUAGCAAACAAAAUUGUUGAACUGACAAAAGAUAACCAAACAUCAAACAGAAGUGUCUCCAGUUAAGAACCACCCCACGAUCAGACAUCUGGAAAUUGAAGAGUAUAUCUAUAAGCACGGGAAACUCGAGGUAGAAGAGAAAAUGUAGUAGAAUAAAAAUACUAUUAUGUACUCCCUUUGCCACCCUCGAUUAACACAAUAUCAAUGACUACAUCAAAGAUCUGUCGCGUCCAAAAACCAGACCAAGAUAGCCCCCACAUUAAGCUCCUACAGUGAUGGAAUCAAAACCUAUUUUGUAUCUCCUGUCACAGGGUAGGCUCAAAACAAUAUCCAAGUCUAUAUAACAACAAAAGAAAUAUAAUAGAGAGAUCAAAUGCAACCAAUUAUGAACCCAGAACUGCCUUCCAGUUAAGCUUGAUUAAGAACCAAACAACGAUCAGGCAUCUGGAAAUCGAAGAGAAUAACAAUAAGCACGGGAAAGUCAAGAUGGAAGAUAAAUUGUAGCAGAAUUAAUACAAUACUAUACUCCCUCUGACACCCUCGAUAAACAUUAUAUCAGUGACAGCAUCAAAAGUUGAUAGUCUCCAUAACUAGACCAAGAUUAGCCCCACCAUAAGUGCUUCUUUCACAACUUAAUUUUUAACCCCUGUCACAAGGUGAGGCAGAAAACAAUAUCCACGUCUACGUAACAAAUAAAAGAUUGUUGAAACUGACAAAAGAUAACCAAGCAUACCAGAAGUGCCUUCCAGUUAAGAACCACACAACAUCAGACAUCUGGAAAUUGAAGAGUAUAUCUAUAGCACGGGAAAUUCUAGGUAGAAGAGAAAAUGUAGUAGAAAAAAAAUACUAUUAUGUACUCCCUUUCCACCCCGAUUAAACAUAUCAAUGACCAUAAGAUUGUCGGUCCAAAAACCAGACCAAGACAGCCCCCACCUUAAGCUCCUACUUUGAUAGAAUCAGAACCUAUUUUGUAUCUCCUAUCACAGGGUGAGGCUGAAACCAACAUCGAGUCUAAAUAACAACAAAAGAACUACAAUAGAGAAAGCAAAGGUAACCAACUAUCAAACCCGAACUGCCGUCCAGUUAAGCUUGAUUAAGAACCACACAACGAUCGGGCAUCUGGAAAUGGAAGAGAAUAACGAUAAGCACCGGAAGGUCUAGAUGGAAGAUAAAUUGUAUUAGAAGAAAUACUAUCUAUACUCCCUCUGCCACCCUCGAUAAACACACUAUAUCAGUGACCACGUCAAAGGAUUGACUUGUGUGCAAUAACUUGACUAAGAUUAGCCCUACUUAAGCUCCUACUUUGAUAAAAUUAAAACUUAAUUUUUAUCUCAUGUCAUAGGGUGGGGCAGAAAACAAUAUCCACGUCUAUGUACAAACAAAAUUGUUGAAAUGACAAAAGAUAACCAAACAUCAAACCAGAAG